CGUCCAGCCCGCUCAGAAACUCAAAGGAAGUUGACGGGGCCCGCACAAGCGGUGGAGCAUGUGGUUAAUUCGAUGAUACGCGAGGAACCUUACCUGGGCUCAAAUGUAUGUUGACGUAUUCUGAAAGGGAUACUUCUUCGGACAAUAUACAAGGUGCUGCAUGGUUGUCGUCAGCUCGUGCCGUGAGGUGUCGGGUUAAGUCCCAUAACGAGCGCAACCCCUAUCAUCUGUUGCCAGCAUUUAAGGUGGGGACUCAGAUGAGACUGCCGGUGACAAACCGGAGGAAGGUGGGGACGACGUCAAGUCAUCAUGGCCCUUAUGUCCUGGGCUACACACGUGCUACAAUGGCCGGUACAGAGUGAAGCGAAACCGCGAGGUGAAGCAAAACGCAGAAAGCCGGUCUCAGUACGGAUUGGAGUCUGAAACUCGACUUCAUGAAGUUGGAAUCGCUAGUAAUCGCGCAUCAGCAUGGCGCGGUGAAUACGUUCCCGGGCCUU
Molecule: ribosomal RNA, 497 nt
Filed under: uncultured Spirochaeta sp.
Lineage: Bacteria; Pseudomonadati; Spirochaetota; Spirochaetia; Spirochaetales; Spirochaetaceae
Description: bacterial SSU rRNA
Rfam family: Bacterial small subunit ribosomal RNA
Source: RNAcentral